This 547-nucleotide ribosomal RNA is filed under the name uncultured bacterium. RNAcentral's name for it is "bacterial SSU rRNA". It matches the Rfam family "Bacterial small subunit ribosomal RNA", at positions 28 to 578 of the family's 1533-position model. The record is from RNAcentral.
GAUGAACGCUAGCGGGAGGCUUAACACAUGCAAGUCGAGGGGUAUGGCAGCAAUGCCAGAGACCGGCGCACGGGUGAGUAACGCGUAUGCAACCUACCCUUUACAGGGGGAUAGCCCGUCGAAAGGCGGAUUAAUACCCCAUGGUACUAUUUUGCCGCAUGGCAGGAUGGUUAAAGUUCCAACGGUAAGGGAUGGGCAUGCGUGACAUUAGAUUGUUGGCGGGGUAACGGCCCACCAAGUCAGCGAUGUCUAGGGGUUCUGAGAGGAUGAUCCCCCACACUGGUACUGAGACACGGACCAGACUCCUACGGGAGGCAGCAGUGAGGAAUAUUGGUCAAUGGGCGCAAGCCUGAACCAGCCAUCCCGCGUGAAGGAUGAAUGCCCUAUGGGUUGUAAACUUCUUUUAUGUACCAAGAAUGGGCCCCACGUGUGGGGUUUUGACGGUAGUGCAUGAAUAAGCAUCGGCUAACUCCGUGCCAGCAGCCGCGGUAAUACGGAGGAUGCGAGCGUUAUCCGGAUUCAUUGGGUUUAAAGGGUGCGUAGGCGG